This 425-nucleotide long non-coding RNA is filed under the name Musa acuminata (dwarf banana). RNAcentral describes it as "long non-coding RNA (MACU_LNC000041)". Lineage: Eukaryota; Viridiplantae; Streptophyta; Magnoliopsida; Zingiberales; Musaceae. The record is from RNAcentral.
AUCUCUCUCUCUCUCUCUCUCUCUCUCUCUCUGUCGCCUGCAUACGAAGAGUAUUAUUAGGCUCGGCAGUUUACUCUGUGGGCAAGAAUUAUCCCUGCAAGUGUAAUUACCAUAUGGGCAUGCCAAUUGAGGAAGAUAUGAAUCAAUCAUAAAAGAGAAGAAGAGAAUACAUCACUUGCAGUUCUUACGUCUCUUCUUCGUUUGAGACUUGGGAAUUGGGACUCGAAAACAAACGACAUGAUGCAAAGGCUCACUAUUGAUUGACCUUCCUUUGCUCUACUUAUACUUUCUCUGGUCUUUACUGCACAUUUGAGCCUCAGCAACCCGACCUCCUCCUCCUUUUCUUCCUCCUCUUACCUUUCUCUCUUCUACUAUACUCUUUCUACACAACAAAGCCUCUCUCUCUCUCUCUCUCUCUUUCUUUC